Molecule: ribosomal RNA, 445 nt
Filed under: uncultured bacterium
Lineage: Bacteria
Description: SSU rRNA
Rfam family: Bacterial small subunit ribosomal RNA
Source: RNAcentral
AGAAUGAACGCUGGCGGCAUGCCUAACACAUGCAAGUCGAACGAGACCUUCGGGUCUAGUGGCGCACGGGUGCGUAACGCGUGGGAAUCUGCCCUUGGGUUCGGAAUAACAGUGGGAAACUACUGCUAAUACCGGAUAAUGACGUAAGUCCAAAGAUUUAUCGCCCAGGGAUGAGCCCGCGUAAGAUUAGCUAGUUGGUGGGGUAAAGGCCUACCAAGGCGACGAUCUUUAGCUGGUCUGAGAGGAUGAUCAGCCACACUGGGACUGAGACACGGCCCAGACUCCUACGGGAGGCAGCAGUGGGGAAUAUUGGACAAUGGGCGAAAGCCUGAUCCAGCAAUGCCGCGUGAGUGAUGAAGGCCUUAGGGUUGUAAAGCUCUUUUACCCGGGAAGAUAAUGACUGUACCGGGAGAAUAGCCCCGGCUAACUCCGCGCCAGCAGCCGC